Nannospalax galili (Upper Galilee mountains blind mole rat) is the source of this 503-nucleotide long non-coding RNA. RefSeq lists it as uncharacterized. The transcript is spliced from 2 exons. The record is from RefSeq and is a predicted model, not a curated record. NCBI's taxonomy places the organism in Eukaryota, Metazoa, Chordata, Mammalia, Rodentia, Spalacidae.
CCAUUUCAAUAGCAUGGUGAUGAGGCUGUGGAUAAUUAACAACAACAACGAACGUGGAGACUCUACUAAAUGUGGUUCUUUGUGCAAGAAAUCACUCACUGGCAAAUAGAAAAAACAAAACAAAACAAAAACACCUUGAGAACCAGGGUGUGGCUCAAUAGACCUGUACACAAAAAUCACUGUGUGUUUCAUUAAUGGUGAUAUCAUCUACCACGAAUGAAGGAGACGGUGAUCAUCUAUGCUUACACAAUCAAUCAGCAAGUCUAUACUGAGACCUUGAUGUGCAGGACACUGGUUUGCCUCUGUUUCUAAAAAUUAGAUGCUUCAUAAAAAAAAAAAAAAAACAACAAACCAUUCACAGUGACUAAGAAAGUUCGUUUUCUUUAACAUAAAAAAUGCCGAAUGAAAAUUUCAGACUUUGUUGAAAAAUGAUAGAACUGGGAACUUUUCAGACAGUGAGUGUGGGUGUUAAGUGGGUUUUCAAUGGUAUUUGAUUCAUCAGA